GGGUUGUGAGGUUAAGCGACUAAGCGUACACGGUGGAUGCCCUGGCAGUCAGAGGCGAUGAAGGACGUGCUAAUCUGCGAUAAGCGUCGGUGAGGUGAUAUGAACCGUUAUAACCGGCGAUUUCCGAAUGGGGAAACCCAGUGUGUUUCGACACACUAUCAUUAACUGAAUCCAUAGGUUAAUGAGGCGAACCGGGGGAACUGAAACAUCUAAGUACCCCGAGGAAAAGAAAUCAACCGAGAUUCCCCCAGUAGCGGCGAGCGAACGGGGAGGAGCCCAGAGCCUGAAUCAGUGUGUGUGUUAGUGGAAGCGUCUGGAAAGGCGCGCGAUACAGGGUGACAGCCCCGUACACAAAAAUGCACAUAUUGUGAGCUCGAUGAGUAGGGCGGGACACGUGGUAUCCUGUCUGAAUAUGGGGGGACCAUCCUCCAAGGCUAAAUACUCCUGACUGACCGAUAGUGAACCAGUACCGUGAGGGAAAGGCGAAAAGAACCCCGGCGAGGGGAGUGAAAAAGAACCUGAAACCGUGUACGUACAAGCAGUGGGAGCCUCUUAAUGGGGUGACUGCGUACCUUUUGUAUAAUGGGUCAGCGACUUAUAUUCUGUAGCAAGGUUAACCGAAUAGGGGAGCCGAAGGGAAACCGAGUCUUAACUGGGCGUUAAGUUGCAGGGUAUAGACCCGAAACCCGGUGAUCUAGCCAUGGGCAGGUUGAAGGUUGGGUAACACUAACUGGAGGACCGAACCGACUAAUGUUGAAAAAUUAGCGGAUGACUUGUGGCUGGGGGUGAAAGGCCAAUCAAACCGGGAGAUAGCUGGUUCUCCCCGAAAGCUAUUUAGGUAGCGCCUCGUGAAUUCAUCUCCGGGGGUAGAGCACUGUUUCGGCAAGGGGGUCAUCCCGACUUACCAACCCGAUGCAAACUGCGAAUACCGGAGAAUGUUAUCACGGGAGACACACGGCGGGUGCUAACGUCCGUCGUGAAGAGGGAAACAACCCAGA
This 998-nucleotide ribosomal RNA is filed under the name Escherichia coli. Its description in RNAcentral is "partial 23S ribosomal RNA". It matches the Rfam family "Bacterial large subunit ribosomal RNA", at positions 1 to 1031 of the family's 2925-position model. The record is from RNAcentral. Lineage: Bacteria; Pseudomonadati; Pseudomonadota; Gammaproteobacteria; Enterobacterales; Enterobacteriaceae.